Molecule: ribosomal RNA, 271 nt
Filed under: uncultured prokaryote
Description: partial 16S ribosomal RNA
Rfam family: Bacterial small subunit ribosomal RNA
Source: RNAcentral
UACGGAGGAUGCAAGCGUUAUCCGGAUUUAUUGGGUUUAAAGGGUGCGUAGGCGGGAAAAUAAGUCAGUGGUGAAAUCCUACAGCUUAACUGUAGAAUUGCCGUUGAUACUGUUUUUCUUGAGUAUGGUCAAGGAAGGCGGAAUGUGUAAUGUAGCGGUGAAAUGAUUAGAUAUUACACAGAACACCAAUUGCGAAGGCAGCUUUCUGGCCCAUUACUGACGCUGAGGCACGAAAGCGUGGGGAUCGAACAGGAUUAGAUACCCCGGUAGU